CCCCUUCCUGUCAGUUUCCUUUUCUCUCUCCCUCUCUCUCUCUACUACUCCUUUAAAAGACUGCAGCAAGUUGCAGCAAGACAGCCAAAUAUUGAUCAAUGGGGUGUGUGUGUGCGAGUGUGUGGUGUGUGUGUGUGGAAGGGACCGGGCAGAGCAGGGAGGAGGGGGGUCCUUGCUUUUUUUCCUUUUUUUUUCCCUCGCUCUUUUUCCCCUCCUCCCUCCCCCUAGCCAACGAGCAGCUCCCCCCGCUCGCCGGGGGCCCCCCUCUCGCCGCCGCUGCUCGGGCAUUGCACCGGGAGCGCUGCCGGCUCUGCAGUGCCCGCUCCGCGCCGAGCCCCGCUUCCCCGGGCGGGCGGCGAGCGGCCCCCCCGCUGCAAAGCGCCGCUGCCCUCCUCCCUCCCUUCCCUUCCCUGCUUCCCUCCCUCCGCACACACACGCGUGGGGAAUUGGCUGGGGCGGGAGGAUGAUGCUGCAUUUUAACAUCCCCCGAUCCCUCCCUCGUCCCCCCCCNNNNNNNNNNNNNNNNNNNNNNNNNCCACCCCUCGGUCCAUCCCCACCGGUCGCCCCGGGCAGCCCCCGCUCCCCUUCCCCGGGGGAGGGCUUUGCGCGGGGACUUUGCGGAGCAGCAGCUCCCGGAGCCCCGGUCCCACGGCUGCUGCAUCCCGCCGCGGCACGCCGCGCUGCCCCGAGAUGCACAGCAGCCCCACAUCGCCACCUCUCCCCUUCAUCCCUCGUUUGCAGCCCGAGGUCGCCCGGGUGGAGCCGCCCCAUGCUGCUGUGAGGGGGACAGGGACUCCGGGUGAGGUGUGGGGUGAAGGGAACGAGGUGCCCAGCAGCUCCUUUCUGCAGCCCAACCGCCUGGAACCUAUGCCCUGGCUAGCAGCCCUGUGAGCAGUGACCUAGCGGCUCUAGGACAAGGGUUCCUGACCCUCCUCCAGCUGGAAAAGACGUUUUUCAAGCAAAGCCACCAGCAGUCCAUUACAUAAGAGCAGAGAAAUUCUGCAGCUCCCAGGACUGAGGGAGAGCAGCAGAGAAAUGCGUGUGUUUGCAGGAGG
RNAcentral lists this long non-coding RNA (1055 nucleotides) under Numida meleagris (helmeted guineafowl). RNAcentral's name for it is "lncRNA (ENSNMEG00000008679.1)". The record is from RNAcentral. Lineage: Eukaryota; Metazoa; Chordata; Aves; Galliformes; Numididae.